RNAcentral lists this ribosomal RNA (230 nucleotides) under uncultured bacterium. RNAcentral's name for it is "partial 16S ribosomal RNA". It matches the Rfam family "Bacterial small subunit ribosomal RNA", at positions 333 to 578 of the family's 1533-position model. The record is from RNAcentral.
ACUUGCCUACGGGAGGCAGCAGUGGGGAAUAUUGGGCAAUGGGCGCAAGCCUGACCCAGCGACGCCGCGUGAGGGAAGACGGUCUUCGGAUUGUAAACCUCUUUCAGCAGGGAAGACAAAAGGACGGUACCUGCAGAAGAAGCCACGGCUAACUACGUGCCAACAGCCGCGGUCAUACGUAGGUGGCAAGCGAUAUCCGGAAUUACUGGGUGUAAAGGGUGUGUAGGCGG